This is a long non-coding RNA of Arvicola amphibius (Eurasian water vole), 492 nucleotides long. RefSeq lists it as uncharacterized. The transcript is spliced from 3 exons. Lineage: Eukaryota; Metazoa; Chordata; Mammalia; Rodentia; Cricetidae. The record is from RefSeq and is a predicted model, not a curated record.
GGAAAGAGCAGGAGAGAAGAUAAGAGGCUGGGCCUGGAGAUACCUGCUUUUCUCCUAAAGGGGGUGAGGCAGGAAGAGAAGAUUGGGAAAAGAAGGAAGGCCAUGCCUCUGCUGGAGGCCUAUACAAGGACACCAAAGAAGGAAGCUUUUGCUCUUUGCCUGCUUCGUCUUGCCUGGCUAGCACGUCCAUUCCUUCCCUGGUGUUUGAGCAUACUACUGCAGGAUCCCAGCAUAUCCUGAAGAGCACCUGAGACAUCCAGCCUCGUGGACUGAACAACUCCUGGAUUCUUGGACCUUCCAUUCAGAGGCAGUUGGACCACAAUCUGAACUCCUUGUAAAACUCCUGCUGCUGAUCUUGAACUCCUGACGAUCUUCCUGCUCAGCCUCACAAGUACCAGGAUUACACGAGUGCUCCCUCCCUUACAGAAAAAAAAACUGCAUAUUUUUGUGAGCAUGGGAAGAUAUUGGUAUUAAACAUAAAGGCUUCACACA